AUUCACAGAGAGUGGACACAGACUCUACCUCUCAAUAGGAGGAGCAUCAAAAAGCGGAAGCCAUGCUUUAUAACCACCACGAUGAGUGACGUAAUAAAAACUAGAGGACAAAUAUGAUACAGGUACACUCUUCAGAUCCCAGAAACUGACUGAAGAUGAGGCUAAGAAGGAAGGAAGCUUUCUGAUGAACAUGAACACUGCCAUUUCCUGUAUGAUAGUAUCAUUGCUAGUGAUGAAGAAGACUCAGUUCUUCCCACGGCUGCGCAGCUGCUCCCCAAACUGGAGCAUGCGCGGGACCACUCCCGUGCCCACCCACAUUGUGGGAUUAGCUUCCUGGCCAACCUGCUGUGUUUCUGGCGCUGAAGCUGUCCUCCCGGGAGACGCCGCCUGGGCUGCCUCUGUCCUCGCCCACCACCGGCAUGUCUGAAAUUUACUAGAAGCAAGACGUGGACAACUGCAACAGCAGCCUGAAAACAUGAACACAUCUGUGAGAAAAUUAAUCUAUCAACCUGUCAGACGCUGCAACUGCCUGGAAAGGAAUAACAGCGUCUGCUGCUUUCUGUUAAAGGUCACCCUCUAGGCUCUGAGGAAUUUUUCCUGAAUUACAAAGAAGGAACAGAUCAAAUGCCUGUCAUAACACACUUCAGAAAACAAGGAGCAACCAGAAGUUCCUAUUCAUCUAAGGAAUCUUUGAAAAUCCUGCUCUGGGUGGAGCGACAUUUGUUAACAAUAAAAAGUUCACUUGGCAGGCCAACCUGGGUAUGGCCAAAGUUGACAGGGCAGACUACCCCCCCAGGGACUGUGUCUCACCUCUCAAGACUUCCAGGAAGUUCCUGAGAACGUCAGGAACUCUGCAAUUCUGGCCUUGGUGGUUCACAGCCCACCCCUCCAUUCAGGCUUCUUCUCCAUGCAUGUCACAAGGGAAGCAGACCUCCACAACAGAGCUUUCUCCUAAGGACCAAUGGGCGGCUUCACCUUUUCCCACAGUUUAGACUGACCAGGGCUGGCUUAGGAGGAGUCGCUAGGCAGAACUACCCACAGAUUUGUGUGUUUCAAGUCAUUUGGGUUCCUGCCCAAUUCAGAUUCAUAGGGAUAGAACUCUGGAUGACAAAACCAAAAAAAACCCCAUGGUCAACUAUACAGCAACAAUUUUGUAAUGCCAAGUUUACUAGUCAUCUUUACAUAGUUUUUAUUUAAGUACUAAAAUAUUUGUAAUACACCUUCGAGGGGAUUUGUAAGAUGCAUUUUAUAACUUCCCCAACACUCUUGUAAAGGCAGCAGGGAGUUUUACCUUCUUCCCUGCUUUCUUCUCUGAAAAUGUAAUUUUGACUAUUUUUUUCUUUUUCUUAUUUUUUGAGACAGUCUCACUCUGUUACCCAGGCUGGAGUACAGUGGCAUGAUCUUGACUCACUGCAACCCCCCCUUCCCAGGUUCAAGUGAUUCUCUUGCCUCAGCCUCCCGAGUAGCUGGAGUUACAAGCAUGAGCCACCACAACUGGCUACUUUUUAUAUUUUUAGUAGAGAUGGGGUUUUACCAUGUUGGCCAGGCUGGUUUUGAACUUCCAACCUCAGGCGAUCCACCCGCCUCGACCUCGCAAAGUGCUGAGAUUACAGGCGUGAGCCACCAUGCCUGGCUUACUUUUUUUUUCCUUAAUAGUUGGCAAGACCCCUGGAAUCAACCAAAAUGCCCAUUGAUAAUAGACUGGAUUGGAAAAAUGUGGCACAUAUACACCAUGGAAUAUUAUGCAGCAAUCAGAAAUGAUAAGUUUGUGUCGUUUGUAGGGACAUGGAUGAAUCUGGAGAACGUCAUCCUCAGCAAACUGACACAAGAACAGAAAAUGAAACACCGCAUAUUCUCACUCAUAGGCGGGUGAUGAAAAAUGGGAACACAUGGACACAGAAAGGGGAGUACUAAAC
Molecule: long non-coding RNA, 1916 nt
Organism: Callithrix jacchus (white-tufted-ear marmoset)
Lineage: Eukaryota; Metazoa; Chordata; Mammalia; Primates; Cebidae
Source: RefSeq, a predicted model, not a curated record